UCCUGUCUUUGUCAUGUCUUGACUCGCUCCGAAAGUCUUUGGAGAACUUUCACUUUGUAUCAAAAGUCUUCCUCUUCUGCUUAAUGAGAAGACAGUUCCAACUCAAGAGAAUGAACUCUGACAAAAUCAUGAAAGAAUUUGAUGGGUAAAAAGAGAGGCAAUUAGAGAACACCCCAGACGACCGAAGUGGAUGAGCCCAGCACAGCAUCACAGUCUGCCUACCCUGUUUGGUUCCAAUCAAAAUCCUAGCAACCAGCAUUCUAUUAACUGACUGUUAAUUGUACAUGGUGUGAGAUCAGGAGAAAACAUUAUGUCCUGGAGGGGAACUUCAGAAAAGUAUAUAGAUCAUAUUCAAUUUCUGUUCAACUUUUGGCAAAUUCCAGUUUGCAGUGGAACACUCGGUGAUGGUAUCCUAUAACCUGGCACCCUAGACCUCGAGGACUUUCCCAAGAGUUCUAACAAACCAUUGUACCUGCACAAUACAUUUCCUGGCACAAAGGAAGCACUUGAUGAGUGCUUGUGGGAGUGGAUCCAUUUUUAAACACAAAUUCAGUUAUUAGUGUGAUGAGAAAAUCAUUGUUGGGCAUGAGGAAUCAUAAAUGCAAAGACCCCAAGACAAGGUGCCAGGGCCAUAAAGACAUUGAAAAGAGCUCAAAGCUAUCCUUGAGACUCUAGUUCUGUUCAUCCCUCCUCAUACAUUGCAUCUCAGAAAAAUGGAAGCAAGAGAGACAAGGUCCAAGGUCAUGUAUGUCCAUUCAUUUUUGGAAUGUGUGACAUCAUUCUCCUUCUCAUCCCUCCCUCUUGGAACCCCUGAAGUCUCGAUAGAAGCCAAAUAUUCUGAAGGAGGCCUUCCUUCGUGUUCCAGGCUGUUUGCUAGUGCCUCCCAUCCCUCUACCGAAUGUACUCUUUAUGCCCCUAUGUAAGUCCUGUGCAAUCAUCCUAUGAAUGGGCAGACGGCCAACCCUGCUGGACUGUAUGCUCUCUGAGGAGAGAGACUGUCCUAUUUUUAUCUCUACAUCGUUGCCACUUGGCACACUGUCUGUUGCAUAAUAGGAACUGAAUUAAAAAAAAACACCUUAUUAGUUGUUUCAUCUGAAUUUUGAUUUGUGAGCUUCUUUUGUGUGUGAAUAGAGAAGUUAUAGGACUCUCUGGGCCAUGUUUCUUACCUAGAAGACGGAACAAAAUAUACCUCCUACUACCAACUCGUGGGCUGUUUUGAAGAAAUCACUUUGAAAACUGUAAAGUCCAUAUUACAAGAGGUCAAUUCAUCAGUCAGAGAAUUAACAAAUAUACUAAGUGUUUCUAAUAGAGGAGGCAUCUGCUAGAUGUUAGGGAAAUAAAUAUGAAUAUGACAUAAUUUCUGUCCUGGAG
This 1371-nucleotide long non-coding RNA is filed under the name Monodelphis domestica (gray short-tailed opossum). RNAcentral's name for it is "lncRNA (ENSMODG00000039687.1)". The record is from RNAcentral. Lineage: Eukaryota; Metazoa; Chordata; Mammalia; Didelphimorphia; Didelphidae.